UUUUUUUGUUUGUUUUUUUUUUUCAGAAUCUUAUUCCUUUGUUCCCUCUUUUUCAUUCACUUUCUGUCAGGGCUUUUCCCCCUCAUUUCAGUGUAGCUUCAGUCAUCUUCAUGCUUAUUUUUCUUCCUCUGCUAUUCUCAGACAGUAUACACAGUCUGAAAUACAAACAUCUUUUUUUUCCUCUACCUACCAACAUGACCUCCUGGUAAAUUAUUCCACUAAUCCCAACAAAGAUCACAGAAUCCUUUCAAAGCCUUACUCUAUUCUGGCAACGAAACAAAAUUUUUAUUUCUUUUGUGAUCUUUGUCCAUUCAGGGUGGAAGAGGCCAAGUGUAGUUGCAAGCAAAAAUCAGUCCUGACAGUCUCAAGUUUUGUUCAUAGUUAUGUACUUUAUUGUCUCUUUGACUUAUUCUGAAGUGUUCUUCUCACUGAAUUGCAGCAUUCAUUGUUUUUCAUUUCAGAAAUACCCACCUCAUGUCAUUCCAUAGGAUAGUGUGGAAAUAGUGCAUUUCUUUGAUGUCUGACUGCAUUGCACCCGACACAAUGCAAUUCAUUUAAGUUUCAAUACAGCUACUGUAAUAAAAGGGCAAGAAGGAACAGAAGUAUCUGGGAUGUGCAGGGCAACUUACAGGAUUGUAUCUGAUCUGAUUGCAGAACUUCAUGUCAGAAUUGUAUUUUCUCCUUCAGGGCAUGCUGUUAAGGCACAUCCCAGCCACUCCUCCCUGUCAUUCUUAACAUGUAGGGGAAGUACAAGCUGCAGGGAGCAGCUGGAGCAGGAUCAGCAGAAGAGACAUUUUUGUGAACAUGUCAUUGUUCAGCCUUUUCAUCUCUGAGACUGAACACUUGAUACAAAUCUUGUACUUUGAGGCUCCUGCUGCUUCUUGCUUAUCAUCAUUCUCUAAUGAAAGAAGAAUGAAGUGUGGAAAAAUGGUGGUAAUUUGGCAAGAGACAGCCAAGAGCUAGAAAGCCAGCACAUCCAUCUGUUGAUCCUGGAGCUGUCCGUGGUUGUGUUUUCUGGUGUUUUGUCUAUUCCGUCUCCUCAGCAGUUCAUAGUUCUGUUGGUAUAGUUUGUCCAAAUAGCUCGGACCAUCUGAGGACUUUAGUUAAGAUUUUAUUUUUUUGGAUAUAGAAAUUGACACACACAAAUUAUAUACUUUAAAAUACAAUAAUAAUUGCAAAGGUGUAAACAUUUGUUCAUUUAACAUGUGACAAAAUUGUCACAGCUCCUACCAGCUCCUUAAUAUCUGUGAGAUAAAAGCAUAUGAAUUGACAAUAUUCACAUUUUGAAAUUUUUUAGCACAGGUGUGGGAGCUCCACUGCAACAUCUUGCAUCAGAAGAGUUGAGAAGCAGGCAGUUAAUCCUCUUCCAGCUUUUUUGCAGUUUGAGGUUUUACAGAUUCAUAGGUUAUUCCACAGUGCUGUUCCCUCAUAACUGGUGAGAAAUGUCUCUAGCUGUAUUCCUGACUAGAUGGGGGUGUUGCUGUAGUGAUGAUGUUUUGAAUUGUUCACACACUGCUGUUCAGUGUGUGAUAUAUGUAUUUUAAUUCAAGGUUGUCUCCCUUAAUAGCACACCAGUUCUGACAACUCCACUGUUGGGAAGAUUAUGACAGAGGUUUUAGGUACUAUUCUGUACAUGGAUUUUACAUGACCCUUCUGUGUCAGAGAUUCAAAAUAUCUGUAUCAUCAGAGAUUUUGAUUUAUGAGUAUUUCCUAGUUUUGUAGGUGUCUGUGAAAAGGACAGAGAUUUGCAGCUCCCCCAUGAGCUGAGAUGUCAUCCUUGUACAAGGAAUUAAGCUGUAGAUGGAUGUUUUGAGGCACUCAAAAAGGAAAUGUAUAGAGAUAAAUCAGCAAAAACAUUUAGAAAACUAACACAGAGCAUAUCUGGAAAGCCUGUGAGAAAAAUCAAGUUGCAAAAUUCCAGGACAAUGAUGAAUGCAACAAGGAGACCACUGAGAAUAUUUUGGGCAAAGACUAAUUUUUAGAGAUGCAGACAGAAGAAUUGCAGACCUAACUCUUGAAUUCUUAGUAGCAUGCAUAUUGUUUGCAGUUCGAGGAUUGUGUGAUGUUUGGACAGUGAAACACAUAAA
Taeniopygia guttata (zebra finch) is the source of this 2087-nucleotide long non-coding RNA. Lineage: Eukaryota; Metazoa; Chordata; Aves; Passeriformes; Estrildidae. The record is from Ensembl.